This is a long non-coding RNA of Anolis carolinensis (green anole), 2835 nucleotides long. RefSeq lists it as uncharacterized. The transcript has 4 exons. NCBI's taxonomy places the organism in Eukaryota, Metazoa, Chordata, Lepidosauria, Squamata, Anolidae. The record is from RefSeq and is a predicted model, not a curated record.
ACAGCUUGGAAAGAUGACACUGUUGAAUUACGACAGCUGGAAUCACACAGUGUGAUUCCUGACUGGCUGAGAUAUUCCAUGAAGAAGAAGACAUGGUUACUAUGGGAGAAGAUAGUCAUGAAGCAUCAACUUCAUAGAGUGGUGGUGGAGAAGGAGGAAGGAUGGUGGUAACAGCAACAUAUGAAAAUGAGGAUAGCAUAGAAAUGCAUGGGAUUGGAAAGGCCACUGUGGAACAUGACUUCCAGAGCAUCAUCAGGUCAACCUAUCACCAAGCCAAGGACACGACUCCAGAACAGCAGGUGUUCAGAGAUGUUCUUGGUAGGAGAAGAAACAGUCCUUAAAACAGAAGUCCAGUUCACUGCUCAUUUUUGAUUUACAGUAUCAAAAUCACUCAACGAAGAGAGGAGAAAACAUGUAUUUAUUUUAUAGUGAACAGAGGAAUCACUGGGAGUUCGGGGACAGAACGGGGAGCAACAAGCAUUCAGCAUCAGUCACCACCAUCAAGAACGCUAGGCUUGUGGUCCAAAGUCACUGUUACUUUAAAAAUCAGUAUACACUCAGCACUCUGUAUUCACAGAUUCUGCAUCCACAGAUUCCACUAACCAUGGCUCAAAAAUACCACCUGCCCCCUUCCAAAUAGCAAACCUUGAUUUUGCUCUUUUAUAUCAAAUAUACUAUUUUACUAUGUCAAUAUAUAAUGAGACUUUGUGUGUGCUUUCUGGGUUUGCAUGCCACGCCACACACACACUCUCCUUGGAAAGAAAGUGCAUGUGUGGCAUGGUGUGCAGACCCCGAAAGCACAUGUGGCUGCAGCCACUGCAGGUGCCUGCACUUUCUGGGACUGCACGCCAUGGUAUGCAUGCACUCUAUUUUCAUGGAGAGUGCAUGUCUGGUGUGCAGGUCCGAAAAGCGUGUGCACCUGCCAGUGCUUGAAGCCAAGCACCUCUUACUCUAGAGUAAGAGGCACUCAGCUGUUGGUACUGGCAGGCAUGCACAUUUUCGAGGCAUACAUGCUGAGUACACACACUCUUUCCAAGGCAAGGAGAAAAGUUCUGGGAGGCGCUCAGCUGCAGGCAAAAGCAGGCUGGGAGCCUGGAUCAGCUUUAGAUUGCUUUCGUGUUAAGCUGAUUUUCAUCGGAGAGAAGGCUUCACGUUUCAUGCUCCUGAACAAAUGAAAGAAACUGGAGAAAUGAAUUCUGCACAAAAUUCUAAUAACCAUACAGAUGGCUUUACUACCACAUUUCCACCAACAUACCUGUUAUGUUAAUGUGCCUGAGAAAAAUCCUUCCCCUGAAGAUCUUAAAACUCAGGUAGGUUGAUAUAUAAGGAGAUACAAUGUAUGUAUUUUAGAAAGCCUACAUUAAGCUUUAUAGGGCUUAAUAGAUCAUGAUCAGCACAUUUAAUUCUUCCUGGAAAUGGACCAGUAGACCACCUUCCAUGCUUAGAAUUUUGUGCAAGAGAAUGUCCAAAUUACAAAGCAGAAAUUUCUACUGGAGUCCAAUUCAGCACAGUUGUAGUCCCAUUCAGCACAUGCUCAAUCCAAAUUUCCUUAUCUAACUGCUGACUGAGCCGGAGCACCUUUAUCUUUUCUAUAUUAAGUUUCAAUGUGUUUACCCAGUCCAUGACUGGUGACAGAGGACCUUAUCAGACGGCCAGGGAUUAAGCGAGGGACAUCAGGGGAAACCGUAGGUCAGAAGAGGGAACUGUCAUGCUCUGUUCCCUACUGUCAAGGUCUGUAGUCUCCCUUCCCAUGACAUUUCCCCAUCUGCCUCUGCUUCCUCCCUGGCUACCCUGGCUUUGCUCUAUGAUGAGUCGGGUGUACAACACUGUAAGCAUGGAGCCCCAUGGAGCCCCACUGGAAGUACCCUGUGUCAUGUUGUUAUCGAGCCAUGGUAACCACCCUCCCAAAAAGAUUUAUAGUUCAUCAAGAGCUCAGAAAUAAAUAUAUAAUUUUUCCAUUUUUAAACAGACCCUUUCUAGACUUGCACAAGUUCAAAGCAUCAGAAGAUCAUGACCCAACCAGCAGCAGCUGUAAACCAAUAAUCUCUAUCAUAUCUAAUGCUUUCCUAAAUUGCAUCUAUUUUAUGAUUUUGUGCAACUUGUAUCUUUCAACUGUGUACUGUAUCUAUUUCUCAUAUAUGAAAUGUAUAUAAACUGCUUCUUAGAUAUGUAUCAAAAUAUAACUUAGAAACAGCAACCCCUAUGUGAUCCUAUUCCGAUAAUCCCCUGGGAAUGGUAAAGAUUGGGCAAAUCCUUCUGGCUAUUUCCCAAGCCAGAUAAUCAUCAGAUUCAUUGUAAAAGAUAGGUGACUUCCUUUGUCAGUCAGAUAAGUUUCAAAUGUUGGUACAAGUCACAUAAAGUUGAGAAUCUGCAGCAACUCCAUGAAAAUAGAAGCUUAGAGUAUGUGCGUUCAUUAACUCUCAGCCAUUCCUUGAUAAUCCAAGAUCAUCUUUGUGCCUUGAGUUUUGCACCUUUGUUUCCUAAGAUCUAUAUCUUUGUUUGGCACAGAACUGGACAUUUGAGCUAAUCAAAAGCUCAUCAACUUAUCUUUACCAUUUGUUUUCCCUGGACUGUUCCCUCCCAGGGGGUGUCUCUACAGCUGAUUGGUCCUUCAUUCUGACCAACUCCUGGCUGCCAAUCUUCCUCCCAGCCAAUCCCAGCAGGGAUCCUAUGAUGCCCUUUUUUCAGCCAAUCAGGGGAAGGAGCUAAAAAUCUGAAUAGCUGUCAGAACUGUAUAAGAUGUCUUGCUUUCUCUGUAUGUUUUUGCUUGUCUAUUUUGAAACAUCUUGCUUGUACUUGCAUCCCUUUUGGUUGAAUUAUAUUAAACCUCUGUGG